CGUCGAUACUGCAAUUCCAAUUUUGACAUGUCAUCGCACACAGUCGCACACAUUUCUUACACGAUACGAAUACAUAUUAUAUUAUUAUUAUAUCGUGGAACGGCAUUGAAAUAGGUCAAGGAACUUAUAGUCCGCAAACAUCCGUCGAAGCCGAUGAAACUUUUACGUACUUGUAUAUAUUAUUUUAGUUUUGCGCAGCAGCAGAAGCUCGGUAAGCAAAAUGUGUGUGAUGUUUUUUUUAUUAAUAUUAUUACGUAUACGGUAUAUAUAUGUAUUAUUUGACGGGGAAUUAAAUUUCUUUUUUCGUCCGUACCUAUUACCAACGUCUCACCAGGUAAAAAUUUGACUCGAUCCGAUAUAAAGUAUUAUAAUAAUACUUAUAUAUGAUUUAAAUAACUCGCAAUAACGAUCGCAUCAUCCGAAAACCACGGACGAUGACGUUUUGAUAUUGAAUGCGACGUGAAAAUAAUGCGCAAAAUGUGUUAAAAAUAUUAUUAUACAGAUCUACUGCCCGUUGACUGCGUGGACAUAUAUGACAGUAUUGACAUAUGGAAGACAAUUUAUUAUGUUAUAUUGUUUUUUGUGCGGGGCAAUAAUACGUGUAAAAAUAACGUAUACCUACUAUAACUAUACGUAUGUACUUAGAUAAUAAUUACGAUUUUGUUUUCAUCCACAUUUCCGAUCGGUUUUCAUACCGUAGUUUAGUUAGUGAUAUGGUACUACCUCACAUACUGGAGUGCUCAUAUUUUAAAUAUUAAAUCAUUAUACAAGAUAAAUUUCUAUUUUAGUUAUUUUUUAUUUUUUUUUAUUUUUUAAGGGAUAAAUAAAACAUUUUUUAUUAAUUGUGUCUAAAAUUAUAGUGCGUUGAGAGAUUUCCAUUAGGUUCUUCCCUCCAAAUGAUUUACCAAUAAUAAACCUAUACAGUUACACGUUCGUAAAUUGCGCCUACAAUGAACAGAUAGGCAAUUAAAAAGACUAGGUACAGUCAAUAAUUGCACAUGGAAUUUUUCGAUUUCUAAAAUAGUUUGAGAAUUUCAAUAAUUUGAAAAAUGUGUGAAUAUUGAUGACAAAAAUUUGAAUCAAAGUCUGAAUGAAAACGUUCACACACGUUUGUCAUGUGUAUUCUGCUAGAAAAUUGUCACGCCCACAUUUUCCGUGGUUUGUCAGUGUAAAAAGUUAUUAUUCAAUUUGGAAAUAAACAUUAUUUUGUGUUGUUUUCUCCGAAAAAAUUAUGACAAUAUCGUGCAAAUAAUAAAUAUGGAGUACUGGACCUUUUCGAGUUGAACGCAUAAAACAUUUACCUGUGAAGCCAGUCUGCAUUCCACUACCCUCGUGUUGAAGUCAUUAGAUGCCGCUUUAUUCUUGACGGCUAAACUCUGAGCCACAACGAACUUGGCGUCGGCUGGAAGUCGGAACUGUUUGACCGCCAACGGAUUGAAGUCGAUACGGGCCGCAUAACCUAUAUACCGCAAAAUAACAAUUAACUACAAUAUUAAUAAUAAAGAAAUAACGAGACUUAUAAUAAUGGAGGUAAAAUUAUGUUUUCGUUCGGUUACCUUGUUUGGCGUUCACGGCUAUCGCUUGGUCCAUGCCACCGCCAGCCGUACCUAUAUAUCUUUCGCAUUUAGCGCUAAUUUCCGCCAGCUCGAGUCUACUGAUUGGUACCUAAAAACAACGACAUCGUAAGCGUUUUGCCUACACGAUACGCCGUCUUCAAAUAGCUACGAGUUUGUGAAUUUUGAUAUUUUUAUCACUACUGCAUAUCGAUAUUACGACAAAUACCUUAUUUUAUUCUUACAUAUAAUUAUUUUUAAAUAAAUUCAAGUGAAUAAUAGUUAAA
Molecule: long non-coding RNA, 1840 nt
Organism: Rhopalosiphum padi (bird cherry-oat aphid)
Lineage: Eukaryota; Metazoa; Arthropoda; Insecta; Hemiptera; Aphididae
Exons: 6
Source: RefSeq, a predicted model, not a curated record